RNAcentral lists this RNase P RNA (298 nucleotides) under archaeon. RNAcentral's name for it is "RNase P RNA component". It matches the Rfam family "Archaeal RNase P". From Rfam's summary of the family: Ribonuclease P (RNase P) is a ubiquitous endoribonuclease, found in archaea, bacteria and eukarya as well as chloroplasts and mitochondria. Its best characterised activity is the generation of mature 5'-ends of tRNAs by cleaving the 5'-leader elements of precursor-tRNAs. The record is from RNAcentral.
AGUAGUGGGUGAACAGCUUUCGGUUUUUGGAAAGUAAAAUUUCCCAGUUUUUUGAAUAAAAAAACUUGUAACUGAGGAAAGUCCGUCCACUUCUAGUAAAACAAAAUCCGAAAGGGUUUCCCAGAGAACAGAAACGAUAUCAUUUGCAUUUAAUCAAUGAUUGAAAAUGAGAGAAUGCAAAAGGAUUGAAACGCGCUUUGGGUUAAACAUUUUCUGAAAAGAAAAUGGAAGUGCAAGCUCUUUAGAGCGCUUAGGCGAAUGCUGUUUUAAAACAAAAGACGGCUUACGGCUCACUGCU